GGGGGGCUAUACAUGCAAGUCGAGCGAGCUGAAUUCAAAGAUUCCUUCGGGAUGAUUUGUUGGACGCUAGCGGCGGAUGGGUGAGUAACACGUGGGCAAUCUGCCCUAAAGACUGGGAUACCACUUGGAAACAGGUGCUAAUACCGGAUAACAACAUGAAUCGCAUGAUUCAAGUUUGAAAGGCGGCGUAAGCUGUCACUUUAGGAUGAGCCCGCGGCGCAUUAGCUAGUUGGUGGGGUAAAGGCCUACCAAGGCAAUGAUGCGUAGCCGAGUUGAGAGACUGAUCGGCCACAUUGGGACUGAGACACGGCCCAAACUCCUACGGGAGGCAGCAGUAGGGAAUCUUCCACAAUGGACGCAAGUCUGAUGGAGCAACGCCGCGUGAGUGAAGAAGGUUUUCGGAUCGUAAAGCUCUGUUGUUGGUGAAGAAGGAUAGAGGCAGUAACUGGUCUUUAUUUGACGGUAAUCAACCAGAAAGUCACGGCUAACUACGUGCCAGCAGCCGCGGUAAUACGUAGGUGGCAAGCGUUGUCCGGAUUUAUUGGGCGUAAAGCGAGCGCAGGCGGAAUGAUAAGUCUGAUGUGAAAGCCCACGGCUCAACCGUGGAACUGCAUCGGAAACUGUCAUUCUUGAGUGCAGAAGAGGAGAGUGGAAUUCCAUGUGUAGCGGUGGAAUGCGUAGAUAUAUGGAAGAACACCAGUGGCGAAGGCGGCUCUCUGGUCUGCAACUGACGCUGAGGCUCGAAAGCAUGGGUAGCGAACAGGAUUAGAUACCCUGGUAGUCCAUGCCGUAAACGAUGAGCGCUAGGUGUUGGGGACUUUCCGGUCCUCAGUGCCGCAGCAAACGCAUUAAGCGCUCCGCCUGGGGAGUACGACCGCAAGGUUGAAACUCAAAGGAAUUGACGGGGGCCCGCACAAGCGGUGGAGCAUGUGGUUUAAUUCGAAGCAACGCGAAGAACCUUACCAGGUCUUGACAUCCUGUGCUACACCUAGAAAAUAGGUGGUUCCCUUCGGGGACGCAAAAACAGGUGGUGCAUGGCUGUCGUCAGCUCGUGUCCUGAAAAUGUUUGGGGUUAAGUCCCGCAACGAGCGCAACCCUUGUCUUUAGUUGCCAUCCAUUAAGUUGGGCACUCUAAAGAGACUGCCGGUGACAACCCGAAGAAAAAGGGGGGGGGAGAAACUCCAAAUCAUUCAAGGCGCCCUUAUAGACCGGGGGGUACAACACGUGGUACAAUGGGGGGGUUAAAACAGAAAAAGGAACA
RNAcentral lists this ribosomal RNA (1261 nucleotides) under Lactobacillus delbrueckii subsp. bulgaricus. RNAcentral describes it as "bacterial SSU rRNA". It matches the Rfam family "Bacterial small subunit ribosomal RNA", at positions 41 to 1260 of the family's 1533-position model. The record is from RNAcentral. Lineage: Bacteria; Bacillati; Bacillota; Bacilli; Lactobacillales; Lactobacillaceae.